GAGUAAUCCUGUCCAAAGCAAGAAUUGACAGGGACUUUGCAGGAAGAAGUAAUGGAAGCCUGUGAUACUGAGUUCCGAAAGAAAACAUCCUUUCUUUUCCCUGAUGCCCAAAUUAGAAUUUUUUGCAGAGCACUGCCAGUCCAUGGGGAGGAGCCCGUAUCUCCACAGAAAGCACUCAGCGUACACCAGUCAGGAACUCAAGGCGCACGUCACAGGUACCCUCGGUUCUAAGGUGCCACCUAAACAGCUUGGGUAUUGCCACUGCAAUUUGCAGCUCCUUCAUUGACAACGAAGGGAAGAGAAGCCCGUUCAGCCUGACAUGUGUCCCUGCUUAGAGUCCGGGAACCUCGCGGUGAAGGCUUCCCAACCUGGGCGCCGAGAAGGACCCCACCACCCAAACCGCGCCAGGCACUGCGCCCGGCACCAGCGCCCCAGCUCCGCGCCGGGUGACGGGAGGUAGUGCCCGGGCGGGCAAGAAGCGGAGGGCACCUACGCGUUGACAAGAGACCCGAGGGCAGGGGGUUGGACCCCAAGAAGGAGAGGUCAGCCCCGUGGUCCUCUUCGCGAGGGGCGCGCAAAGUCAACAUGCGAAGGCAGGCCCCGACCCAGCAGCCCUCGGAGCUCCUGCCCACCACCCAGGGACUCGGCGGAGAGGGCGCAGGCGGCCACGCCUUCCUCCAGCGACCGGGGGAGGCGCGUUCUCCGUCCCCCGAGCAAACCAAAACAAAACCUGAAAGCUAACCAAAAUGCGAAACAGGAAGCGCAUCCCCCCGGGCAGCUCGGCCGCCCGCGCCGGCCGCCCACCCCAUACCUCGCGCGCCCCCGGACAGGUACCUGGCAGCACGGCGUCCUGCUGGUCCCGGGGCUCCGUGCCCCCGGCCUCCGCGGCCUCCGGGGCCUCCGCGGCUUCUGGAGCCUCCGCACCCCGCUCCCCGGCCUCCCCGGCCUCUGGGGCCUCCACGGGCGAGGCAGGCGCGCACCGGGGCGAGGGGUCGGACGCCGGAGAGGCCGAGCCGUCCGAGGCGCCGUCAGGGCCCCAGGAGUCCCACAGCCAGGGCGCGUGCGCCUGCUCCAGCAGCCGGCGGCCCAGGCGGUAGCGCAGCAGCUCGCGGUAGCAGGACGCGUACUGGUCCCAGCGCGGCUCCCGGUAGCGCUUCAUGUACUCGCUUUUCACCCCGCUGCCCGGGGACAUGGUGCAGCGCGCAGCUGGCGACGCGUCGCUCGCGGAACUCACGACACGGAGACCACCCCGCCCGGCCCGGCCCGCCGCUCAGUUCAAACUCGAGCCCCGCCCGGAGGGGGAGGGAGGGGGCGGAGCGGGGGAGGGUGGAGGAGGGGGAGGACGAGGGCGGAGGGGGAGGACGGCGAGGGGGCGGGGUCCGGCGCGGAGCGGGCGGGGCGGCCCCGCGUAGGCGUCCUCUGCCGGGAGAUCCGGGGCGGGGACUGGACGGAGGGUAGGAAAGGCGGAGGCGGCUUGUCCUGGCCAAGCGGGGUGGCGGGCGGAAGCAGCUCCGGGCGAGUGCGGCGUCACCUCCCCUAUCCCGGGUCUCACUCGGGUUGCAGGACGCAGCAACUGGAGCUCGAUCACUAUCGCCGCUCUUCGGCAAGAUGUCGCCGGCGUCCGGGACCCUGCUGCAGCCGGAGGCGAAGGCACCGCCCCACUGGGAGUCGACACCUCCCCGUGCGCCUGGCCCGCGCCCCAGCUUCGGCUCUGGCGGAGGAAGCCCCCCCACACACACCAUUCUCCCGAGAUGGGCCUGGUGUUGAGAGGGACCCAUGCCCAGGAGCCACCCGACCCUCCAAGCUGUGGCCUUGCACGUGUCCCUAAAAAGGCUCCUGGCCUGUCUCUUCCUCUGUGCUCGGAACACCUGUUACUCUGGCUUUCAGCUCAUCUUUCUUUUUGAAUCAACACACUAACGUGUGUUAAAAUACAAAUCAAAACCUUGCUCUCUGCUCAGGGUCGCUUAUGCACACACACACACACACACACACACACACAGCCCUCAACUGAUUUUUCUGUGUCUUGCAGUUAUGUACAAUGUUACUGGCAGUUGUUAGUGUUGAAAGCUGCUGCAUAAUAGUUCUUCCCCUGUUAUAAAAUCAGCUUGAUACAGUUGCUGCAGAAACACUGGAAAGGAAAAAAGAGCCUUGAUAAACAGUUGCUGCAGAAAGAUUGGAAAGGAAAAAUGUUGUGACAGUUCUAGAUAAGGCCCAGCUCUGCAGGGUGGCUGCAUCUCAGGGAUCCAGCACUACCUGCCUCGAAUGUCUCCAAGUUCUGCCCCCAUCUCGGCUGAAAUACCGUGGUGUAUCCUGCCCAGGGGACUGCCCUACUGUCUCUCCUGAGAGCCCAAAGUGACCAGGUCUGGAGGUGUUAGCACCAUUCUUUGCGGGAACGACUCCAGAGACUGAUUUCCCUUCUCCCUAGAAAGCUUCCUUCUCGUCCUUGGCAGUUCUCGGAAACUUUCUCAUGGAAAAGCUGGCUCUUUUGGUUUAUGAUGUUUGCAACCAAAAGAACCUUAUCAAAUACUUAGUAUGGGAAGAAAGGGUGAGGAGCGCCCAUUGAAAAAAUGCACAGCCCAAUGUGUCUUAACUUGCUCCGUGACUCACCAUAGAGCCUAGUGGUGUAAAGCAACUGUAACUCUGAGCUCCUGUGAUUCUGAGGCUGUGCUGGGCUCUCCCUACACUUGUGUUCUGCUGAGGGUGGGGGUUAGCAGGGUUAGCUGUCUGCAUGUGUCACCUCUGCAAAGCAUAUGGCUGCCUACCCUGUGGACCAUCUCAAUGUGCAGAGGUACAAAUAGAUGCCUCAAUGUCUAAACCUCCCUGGAGGUCCAGGCCACUCUUCCAACCUCCUGGCCAUUGUGUUCUUGUUCCCGCGCACCUUGUGAAUACCUCCUGCUCGGUAUCCAUGCCUGCCUUUUCUGAUCCCACCACCACCAAUCUCUUUCUUAAUUCUUAAUCUCUGCUGAUGGCACUUCCAUUCUCCCAGAAACAGGGCCAUCCCAGUGCCGCCUCUGAGGCUGAGGUGUGUGCAUAUGUAGACAAUAUUUCAUGUACCCAUUUCCUUUCUCUCUGCUCCCUCAGUGGGGGGCUGGCUAGAUACAGUAUCCAGAUGGGAAUGUGGUCACAAAUAUCAAAGCUCUUCGUAGAUCUGCUGAGAGCAGAGACCAGAACCAAACCAUGGUCUGCAGCAGGUCAGACCUAACUGAGCAUUCAGGGGCUUGCUGAUUAAAAGCUGAUGGAGAGCUAUACCUGAGAUCCAGGAGUGGAUCUCAAUGCGCAGAGCACUCUGGAGGACCCAGACUGCUAAAUGAGGGCAAAGACAAAGGGCUUAAUAAACAAACCUGCUACAACAAUUCAGCACUGUUUCACUGCCCCUUUCUCCAUUGUUGGCAGCAGACACAGCCAGAAAUUCUCAUAUAAGAGAAUAUACUCGUGGGCCUCCUUUUUUCUGGAGGUGAUGGGGGUCAGGACCAGGGAUUAAAUGGGUCCUUCACAUUGAACUACAUCCCCAGCUCUUCUUUUAUGCUGAUUUGGGGUUUCACUAAGUUGUCCUUCCUGGUCUCUAGUUUGUAGUUCUGCCUCAUCCUCCCAGAAUACAGGGAUUACAGGCAUGCACCACCAUGCCUAGCUCAGAUAAGUACUUUAAUACAGAGAUUUAAACUAGUGUUUGUCUGACUAGGUUAAUCCUAACAUUCAUAGCCUCAUUUCUCCAGGCCAUACUAACCACAAGAAAAACCAAAAGUGUGCAUUGAACAUGGCAUAUUUGGCUUGAGUUCCUACCAAGAAGUCUGAAGAAAUGCCCCCAGCCAGAUGCUAGAACUUCCUUGAUGGCAGAGGCCACAGAAUUGGAAUACAAUCCAUGUACUGUCUCCAUAUAGAAGUCCACUCCUGAGCACAGGGGCUUAUGGAGUCCUUUCAUUUACUGAGGGGUGGUGUUCAAUGUGAGACUCACCAGCCACAAAUCCUGACCUGGGCUCCAGCCCACCUUCUCACUAAGAUGCUACUAAGCCUGGGACUUAGAUGUCUGCCAGCUGAGCCUCUGCCCUUUCCCCCUCACCACCUCUUUUUCCCUGCUAGCACCAGCCCUGAUGGAUUUUAACAUUCUCUGUGCCCAUUGUGCACUGUCCUUCACCCUCCCUCUCUUCUUCCUUUCUGUCUCCAUUUUCUUCCUCCUCCCCUCAUUCCUUCUGCCUGCCUCCUUCCUUUAGAAGGCAGGGAAGUUGCCAUUCUUCCUUUCCUUCUAAAAUUCACAGCACAGAGCCUGGACUUCCUCCAGAACAGUCCCCUUCCCCCUUCCCUGAUGUUCCCAUUCUUGGAACCAUCUAACAAAAAAACAAAAUCUCCCCAAUUACCUUGACUGCUAGAUAAUAAGCUAUUAAAUGAAGAACACUGUGAUCACCAUGGCAAUUUGUCAGAAUGAAGAAUUCUGUGUGCAGUGUUUGGCCUGAGAAAUGCCUACAUUAAAAGCAAACCCAGACUGA
Long non-coding RNA from Cavia porcellus (domestic guinea pig), 4481 nucleotides. RefSeq lists it as uncharacterized. NCBI's taxonomy places the organism in Eukaryota, Metazoa, Chordata, Mammalia, Rodentia, Caviidae. The transcript has 2 exons. The record is from RefSeq and is a predicted model, not a curated record.